GACGUAGGGGGCGAGCGUUGUCCGGAGUUACUGGGCGUAAAGGGCGCGUAGGCGGCCUGCUAAGUCGAACGUGAAAUCCCUGGGCUCAACCCAGGAACUGCGUCCGAUACUGGUUGGCUUGAAUCCGGGAGAGGGAUGUGGAAUUCCAGGUGUAGCGGUGAAAUGCGUAGAUAUCUGGAGGAACACCGGUGGCGAAGGCGACAUCCUGGACCGGUAUUGACGCUGAGGCGCGAAAGCCAGGGGAGCAAACAGG
RNAcentral lists this ribosomal RNA (253 nucleotides) under uncultured bacterium. RNAcentral's name for it is "partial 16S ribosomal RNA". It matches the Rfam family "Bacterial small subunit ribosomal RNA", at positions 524 to 776 of the family's 1533-position model. The record is from RNAcentral.